GCUCCCAUAGCUCAGUUGGUUAGAGCGUGGUGCUAAUAACGCCAAGGUCACAGGUUCGUCCCUGUUGGGAGCA
RNAcentral lists this transfer RNA (73 nucleotides) under Conidiobolus coronatus NRRL 28638. RNAcentral's name for it is "tRNA-Ile". Lineage: Eukaryota; Fungi; Entomophthoromycota; Entomophthoromycetes; Entomophthorales; Conidiobolaceae. The record is from RNAcentral.